GAUGAACGCUGGCGGCGUGCCUAAUACAUGCAAGUCGAGCGAACAGAUAAGGAGCUUGCCCCUUUGACGUUAGCGGCGGACGGGUGAGUAACACGAGGGUAACCUACCUAUAAGACUGGGAUAACUUCGGGAAACCGGAGCUAAUAUCGGAUAAUAUUUCGAACCGCAUGGUUCGAUAGUGAACGAUGGUUUUGCUAUCACUUAUAGAUGGACCCGCGCCGUAUUAGCUAGUUGGUAAGGUAACGGCUUACCAAGGCGACGAUACGUAGCCGACCUGAGAGGGUGAUCGGCCACACUGGAACUGAGACACGGUCCAGACUCCUACGGGAGGCAGCAGUAGGGAAUCUUCCGCAAUGGGCGAAAGCCUGACGGAGCAACGCCGCGUGAGUGAUGAAGGUCUUCGGAUCGUAAAACUCUGUUAGUAGGGAAGAACAUACGUGUAAGUAACUGUGCACGUCUUGACGGUACCUAAUCAGAAAGCCACGGCUAACUACGUG
This 497-nucleotide ribosomal RNA is filed under the name uncultured bacterium. Its description in RNAcentral is "partial 16S ribosomal RNA". It matches the Rfam family "Bacterial small subunit ribosomal RNA", at positions 28 to 507 of the family's 1533-position model. The record is from RNAcentral.